UCAAUAAGUUCUAGCAAUUAUUAAAAAAGGAAAGGCUGUCUGCAAACAGGUGAUCUCAGAAGGGGGUUUGUGCCUCUCUAGGAAGGAAGCCUCAUUGUGGACAUCUGGGAGCAGGUACAUCCCAGCCUUCUUGCACAUAGAAACACUACACAGCACUUCAGCUGUAUGUUUGGGGGCCAUUUUAAACAGCAAAAUCAUCAACAGGAAGCAGAAAAUUGUAAAAAUUGUGGCACUAAAUAGACCAUGUAAAGGACACAUGUUUGCAAUAAGAAAGCUGAAACAAGAAGGGGGAGUGUCACCUUAUUUGAUCCAGCUAGAAACUCAGGUGCUGGUAUUCCAGCAACACUCAGGCGGCUGCUCCAGGAGGCUGCAGAGGGGUCCUUUUUAGCCGUCAACAAAACUGGCUAUGGUCACGCCCAUUGGGAAACUCAUUGCUGCCUUCAAGGACUCAGAAGCUGUAGGAAUAUUCAGGCACAGACACCAGACCCAGCUUCAUCUCUAACUUGUGGCAAAGGACAGUACAUCCUGGGAUGGGACCCUAUGCUCCCCUAUGCCAUUUAGACAGAGCCUGGGGAGAGUGACUUCCCAGGGUAUCCAUGUUGGAAUCUCUCAUUUGAUUCUUAUUCAAAUUUAGGUUCUGUCAAUAGAAGAUACUAAAGAAAGAAAGCCAGGAGAAGAAAAGGGACUUCUUUCUUCAAGGUCUAAGCUGUUCUAAUAGCAUUAUUCUGGGAAUGGCAUCUUCCACUCCUCCUAGUACAAAGAACCUGCUUCCUCAUACCCCGUCAAGGAACUGCAGCAUCCAGGUGAUGGCCACAGUGGCAGAACCUAGGAAGCCAAGAAGAAACCAGAGAAUGGAGACACAUGGCAGCAAUGGCAAGUCAUCAGACCCAGGAUUUCCCAAAGAACACUGGUCCAGGAAGAUGCUCUGUGAAAAAGUGUUCCCUGGUCGGAGAAAUUUGUGAAACACUUUGCAUAAUACUUAAAAGAAUGUAUGGCACAUCAAAGGUAAUAUGCAAUAAAAGAAUUCAUUUUUUUAAAACCAAGCAUAUGCACAACUUAUUUAACUAUGGAUUCGAUUUUUAGAUUCAUAUUUUUUGACCCACAUUUGUGGAGCCACAUCCAUAGAACAGAUUUGACCAUGCUUAUGGUUAUCAUUAAAAAAUUUUUUUAAAUUCAGAUUGAUUUUGGAAUUGGUUUCCCAUCAUAGUUCAAGUAGAUACUGUCCCAAACAAUCUGAAAUCAAGAAAUUAGCAAAUGGGCUUGUUGUUUGUGGAUUUGAAUGGAUUGAAUUCCUACAGCAUUGAAGAAAGAUAUAUUUUAAAGCCUAUUUUUGGAAAAAUACUCUUAGUUGGGUAUUUCAUUUGAUUUGGUACACAGUAGUCAUAAAUUGCCAUCUUUUUCUGCUGUACUUUAUCCUAAAUAUAUUCCAUGGUAUGUUUUCAUAAUUAACAUGCAAAUAGAUGUAUAGUUUAUAAUUAAUUUCAACUGGGCACAGUGAAAAUCUUGAAAACCUCAGCAUGGAGGCAUCUUUGUUGGUAGAAAUUCAAUGAAAUCCCCAAACAUCUUUGGUUUUGCAAUCCAUAAUUUGCAGAUUAUUAAUACAAUAAAUCCUUGUUGUCUGUGAGAGUUGGCAUCGUACCCAUGAACUCCUGUGUAGAAAGCCUACAAACUAAAAGUCCAAAUGGAAAGAAAAAAUCACGUGGUUUCUGUGUAUGCUCAUUACCUGCUUCUGAAACCAUAAUAUCUCGGCCUUUUAUAGAUCUUAUAACAGUCUCCGCAGGAAGCAGCUGCAGUCAUUAGCCAUAGGACAGACUAAACACACAAUCUGCAUGGAAGGAGGCCUGGAUCAGCUUGGUCUUUCAGAUCUCUAAUCUCAGGCACAGGAAAGCACCAUCAACAGCACCCUUUGUAUAUAUACAUAAAGGUAACAUAUUUUAUCAUUUAAAGGGAUUUGAGAAAUUGAAGAGGCCCAACUCUUUUUCUGCCUUCUUUGGUUUGAGGCUUAGAUUGCUUAAGGGGCUUGCCCAGGAUCACAUAUCUUGUAAGAGACAGAGCAAGGAUUCAAAGCCAGUGCUGGCUUCUGUGUCUCCAUUCUUUCCAUUCUCCUCCAGUGGCUCUUUUGGGAAGCUGAGGGAGGAACAGCAGCAGAAUUGGGUGGCACCUGCCCAUGCCCAUCAUGCACUGAGCAUCUUCAGGUCUGGCCAUGGACCCCUUAAUUCCUAAUCCAGAAUUCCUCCCAUCACUCUUUGCUGAGAAAAGCACUAAAAUGGAGAUAUUUGUUCCAAAAUCCCAAAUUUUAAUUCCAUAGAGCAAAGUGUCUUUAUUUUUAAAUCAUCCAACUCAUCAUAAAUUCAGCUGGAUUCAUUAGAGUUAAAGAAUUGACAACACCAAACAUUUUGUAACAGAAGUUACUGCUGCUUAAGGAGUUAGGGUUCACCUUUUCCAGAGCUCUUCAGUGCCAACCCAGCACCAAUAUCCCAGCGUCGCUGGAGGGAAUGAUGGCGCCCUGCAUUUCAGAGAAGAUUUAAAACCGAGAUCCUAACUGCUCAUCAUCAUUAAAAAUCUCCAGGCAGUUUUCAUAAGAGCAAGGGGGUGGUUGCCUGAGGUUUUGGCUGACAGUCAACCCAACUAAUUACAUUCUGUCUACUGUGUCCUCCCGCAGUUUCAAUUGGAUAUGUUUUUUUUUUUAUUUCCUGUCCUAAUCUGAAUGUAGGGUUGCUAUGUGUUCUUAAGCAGAUGCUGCUGUUCUUGCUGGUAGAAGAGGCUUUUCAGAUUUGUUUUUUUCCUCACAGAAAGUUUUUGAGACUUUAAAUAAAAUAAUUCUUCUAAAUGUUCCUAAGAUCCUGGCACCAAAUACAUUCUAAAUGCAAUGUGUGCAGCAUGAAGGAAUUGCAAAGAUAGCAAGUAGAUAAAAGACGUACUUCACAGGAGCAUCCAGCCUCCUAUAG
Molecule: long non-coding RNA, 2948 nt
Filed under: Homo sapiens (human)
Lineage: Eukaryota; Metazoa; Chordata; Mammalia; Primates; Hominidae
Description: HSALNT0394500
Source: RNAcentral